RNAcentral lists this long non-coding RNA (1365 nucleotides) under Homo sapiens (human). RNAcentral describes it as "HSALNT0306455". The record is from RNAcentral. Lineage: Eukaryota; Metazoa; Chordata; Mammalia; Primates; Hominidae.
AGAAAUUAACCAUCCCCCCUAUACACACACACACACACACACACACACCCUGAAAGGGCUUUCCUUGUCUUAAGCCUCUGUGUAUGAAACACUCUGGAACCCACCGGCCUAGGUGUUAGAACAGCACCGAAGUUGCCAGGGCCAGGGGUCCAGCCAUCCUGACCUCUGCUAGCCACCCUGCAAGGGCCGAUGUUCCCACGCAGGAGGCCCCAGGGAGGUGGUACUGAGCAACCGGCCACACCCAAGGAAACAGCUCAGAGCUCAACUUCCUCCUGAAUUAGGCCACACCCGAGGCCUCCCGGGUCUCAUCCACGCCUCUGGGUCCAUCACUAAACAGAAGGCACAAUCCCACUAACUCUUACUCCAUCGCUGCUCAUGAAACUCCUGCCAGUAAGGACUGGGUCAAGCACCUGAAAACCAGAGCUCGUCCGUGGCUUCACUUGUUUUGGACUAAGGAGCUGAGGAGCGUGCAAGACUGUACUUGGAGAAUCUGUUUCUUGCUGCCAUUUCGUCACUGAACACUAUUUUUUUUCUCCUUCUUUUUUUGUAAGAAAAGGAGAACACAUAAAACCCCACCAGAACAAACUCCACUCGGCCCUGAAAGUAUUUACAAUCACGGCCCUGAAAGUACUGAAAGUAUUUACAAUCACGUUACAGUUCAUUCACUGCUGCAGAACCUCUCUCCAGCGAUCAAGGUCGAAGGGAGCCGACGUCGCCCUCUAUCGGCUCCCUGCUGCACUAGAAGAUAUUGACUGAGAAUCCUCCAUGUGCCAAGUACUGUUCAAAAACACUGGGAACCCAGCAGGGAUGAGCCACAAGUUUCCUUGUCUUUACGAAGCUUUCAUUCUGAGGGAGUGGAGAGAGACAAGCAAUAAACAACCAAUCAAAACAAAGAUGACUCCUCUGAGUGUUGUGAUAUGCGGGUCAAGGAGGAUGGCUCCCAGGAUGUGACCUCAGAGCAGAAGCCUGGAGGCUUGCCAGCAGCGGGAAGAGCAGCGGCAGGGCACUGCAGGCAGAGGUGACCAAAAGCGUGAAACCUUGAGCUGGGAAGCACGUGGUCUGCUGGAAAGUGGGCUGAUGUAUUUGAAGAGAGCAAGGAGCAGAAUGGUACAAUGGGGUGAUGGGGGAAGAGCCAGGCAGAGCCCAGUGCUGCAAAGCCCGGUAGCACAUACAUGUGUAACGUACCUUGAAGCAAAUGAAUGGCCUGAUCUGGUUUCUGUUUUGGCUGCUCUGUGGUGAUGUGGUGCCUGGGAGGCAAAGAAGCUGGGAAAGAAGCGGUUUUUCUCUUCUAGGUACUUUAAAGCUCUAUAAUAUAUGCUCAGGUGAAAUUUGGCUGGUAUUUUCAGGGACUUCACUGCUUUUGUG